RNAcentral lists this small RNA (441 nucleotides) under Photobacterium gaetbulicola Gung47. RNAcentral's name for it is "Photobacterium sp. Gung47 cspA thermoregulator". It matches the Rfam family "cspA thermoregulator". Lineage: Bacteria; Pseudomonadati; Pseudomonadota; Gammaproteobacteria; Vibrionales; Vibrionaceae. The record is from Rfam by way of RNAcentral.
CUUGGCCUGAAAUGCAGACCUAUUUAUGCAACAAAUUGAAAUAGAAAACUUCGUUACACCGCUUCAUCGAGCGACGUUGUCCUGAAGAGCUCAACAUUCUUUUGUCCAUAAGUAAUUCAUUAUGAUGGCUUAAGUACGCAACAAGCGUUAAUUAUUUAUUUUAUUCAGGAGACAUCACAUGUCUAAAGCAACUGGUAUCGUUAAGUGGUUCAACGACGAGAAAGGUUUUGGUUUCAUCACUCAAGACAACGGCGGUGCUGACGUAUUCGUUCACUUCCGUGCUAUCGCUGGUGAAGGCUUCAAAUCUCUAGCUGAAGGCCAGAAAGUAUCUUUCGACAUCGAACAAGGUCAGAAAGGUCCUCAAGCUGCUAACGUUGAGCGCAUCUAAUUCGCGUUAACGUGAAGAAUAUUGAAAGGGUGCCCAAGGGCGCCCUUUUUUAU